CGUUCCCGGGCCUUGUACACACCGCCCGUCAAGCCACGAAAGUCGGGGGUACCCGAAGUCCGCUUCUCAACCGCAAGGAUAGAGCGGCCGAAGGUAAACUCGAUGAUUGGGGCU
This 114-nucleotide ribosomal RNA is filed under the name uncultured bacterium. Its description in RNAcentral is "partial 16S ribosomal RNA". It matches the Rfam family "Bacterial small subunit ribosomal RNA", at positions 1369 to 1482 of the family's 1533-position model. The record is from RNAcentral.